UACCAGCUCUCCGAGUGGUAGGGAUGAUUAUUGGGCUUAAAGCGUCCGUAGCCGGCUUAGCAAGUCUCCUGUUAAAUUCAGCGACCUAAUCGUUGAGCCGCGGGAAAUACUACUAGGCUAGGAGGCGGGAGAGGUCAACGGUACUUCCGGGGUAGGGGUGAAAUCCUAUAAUCCCGGGAGGACCACCAGUGGCGAAGGCUGUUGACUAGAACGCGCUCGACGGUGAGGGACGAAAGCUGGGGGAGCGAACCGGAUUAGAUACCCGGGUAGUCCCAGCUGUAAACGAUGCGAGCUAGGUGUUGGGAUGGCUACGUGCCAUUUCAGUGCCGCAGGGAAGCCAUUAAGCUCGCCGCCUGGGGAGUACGGCCGCAAGGCUGAAACUUAAAGGAAUUGGCGGGGAGCACCACAAGGCGUGAAGCUUGCGGUUC
This 428-nucleotide ribosomal RNA is filed under the name uncultured archaeon. Its description in RNAcentral is "bacterial SSU rRNA". It matches the Rfam family "Archaeal small subunit ribosomal RNA", at positions 474 to 903 of the family's 1478-position model. The record is from RNAcentral.